UUGCUUUGGCAGCACAUAUACUAAAAAUGGAAUGAUACAGAGAAGAUUAGCAUAGCCCUUAUACAAGGAUGACACUCAAAUUAGUGAAGCAUUCUAUAUUAAA
Monodelphis domestica (gray short-tailed opossum) is the source of this 103-nucleotide small nuclear RNA. The record is from Ensembl. NCBI's taxonomy places the organism in Eukaryota, Metazoa, Chordata, Mammalia, Didelphimorphia, Didelphidae.